GCACCUCGAUCAGUUUAUUUUUUUGCAAAAAAUAAACUGAUCGAGGUGCUU
Molecule: microRNA precursor, 51 nt
Filed under: Triops cancriformis
Lineage: Eukaryota; Metazoa; Arthropoda; Branchiopoda; Notostraca; Triopsidae
Description: microRNA tcf-mir-10346 precursor (tcf-mir-10346-2)
Source: miRBase by way of RNAcentral